CCAAUAGCGUAUAUUAAAGUUGUUGCAGUUGAAAAGCUCGUAGUUGAAUUUCGGGAUCAAUACGUCGGUCGUGCUUCGGUACGUACUGGCGUAAUUGAUUUCUCCCUUCUGACGAACCAUGAUGUCAUUAACUUGGUGUCAUGGGAAAUCAGGACUGUUACUUUGAAAAAAUUAGAGUGUUUAAAGCAGGCUCACGCUUGAAUACAUUAGCAUGGAAUAAUGAAAUAGGACGUUCGAUCCUAUUUUGUUGGUUUUUAGGAUCAACGUAAUGAUUAGUAGGGAUAGUUGGGGGCAUUAGUAUUCAAUUGUCAGAGGUGAAAUUCUUGGAUUUAUUGAAGACUAACUACUGCGAAAGCAUUUGCCAAGGAUGUUUUCAUUAAUCAAGAACGAAAGUUAGGGGAUCGAAGACGAUCAGAUACCGUCGUAGUCUUAACCAUAAACUAUGCCGACUAGGGAUCGGAUGAUGUUAAUUUUUUAAUGACUCAUUCGGCGCCUUACG
Molecule: ribosomal RNA, 499 nt
Filed under: uncultured Glomeromycotina
Lineage: Eukaryota; Fungi; Glomeromycota
Description: partial small subunit ribosomal RNA
Rfam family: Eukaryotic small subunit ribosomal RNA
Source: RNAcentral